CACCGCAAGGCCUGCUGGGAUGGACGUCCCUUGGCAGAGUGCCCCCUAUGGGGCGAACAGGCCAGAUGGCUGCACUGGGUGCUGCAGUGAGCCCAGAGAGCACAGCAGAUCCAUUGGCGAUACUAACAGUGGCCGCUCAACUCACCCAGGGGCUGGAAUGGGACUUUCAAUGACACACACACGCACUCACACACGCACACACACACCUGGUCUAAAAGGAAGGAUGGGUCAGAGGAGGUCAGAAAACUUCUGGGGCGGAGAGAGAGUUGAAGUGGAGGUGAUUGGGGUUGCCCGACCCCCGGUUGGGGGAGGCCAGCCAAAGAACCUAGAAGGGAAGAAAGGAAAAGUUUUCCACUCUUACAGUUCAGGCCCUGAACAUGGGGCCCUCCACUGGCUGGAUAUUGCUCACUCCAGGACUACUGCAGCUGAGAGAUCGCCAGGACUUCUAAUAAAAGUCAGCAGACGGGCAUAAUUGGAAACAUUGGUCAUAUUACCAAAGCUUUGACUGGAAUGUCAUAUUUGAGAGAGAUCUACAUGGAAUCAGAUAUGGCCAGACAGCUUUAUGCAGCCAAUAAAGCUCCUCGGAAAAAGGGCUUGCAGGAUUCCAGUCAGCCUUACCAGAAGCUCUGAACGGGAUCUGUGGAACCUACAGAAGUAUAUGGACGGUUCCAGAAGUGUGGUUCUUAAACUCCCAGAAACUGUCUGCAAAAGUGGAAAUGCUCCAGGAAGAAUUGCAGUGAUUUAAAAAUAGACACUUGCCACAGUUUUCUUUCCAUAUUUCAGUGCAACUGACUGCAGAUUAUUUGAGUUCGAAUUCCGAAAUAUUCCAAGCCUGCAUUGAAAACAAACAAACAAAAAUCUAUGACUUCUGUAUGUUCAUUGCUAAUGUAUGGCUCCUGAAAAUCAGAAUUUCAUAUGUGUCUGUCACCAAAUUCAGAAAAAACAUUAGUGCUUGAUGCCUGAUGC
Molecule: long non-coding RNA, 966 nt
Filed under: Equus caballus (horse)
Lineage: Eukaryota; Metazoa; Chordata; Mammalia; Perissodactyla; Equidae
Description: lncRNA (ENSECAG00000049207.1)
Source: RNAcentral